GAUUAACGCUGGCGGCAUGCCUAAUACAUGCAAGUCGAACGGAAGCAGCAAUGCUUUAGUGGCGAACGGGUGAGUAACACGUAGGGAACCUACCUAUACGACGAGGAUAACUACUGGAAACGGUAGCUAAAACUGGAUAGGAUCAAUUGAGGCAUCUUGAUUGAUUUAAAGAUCCUUCGGGAUUACGUAGAGAUGGCCCUGCGGCGCAUUAGCUAGUUGGUGAGGUAACGGCCCACCAAGGCGACGAUGCGUAGCUGAGCUGAGAGGCUAAACAGCCACACUGGGACUGAGACACGGCCCAGACUCCUACGGGAGGCAGCAGUAGGGAAUUUUCGGCAAUGGGGGAAACCCUGACCGAGCAAUGCCGCGUGAACGAUGAAGGUCUUCGGAUUGUAAAGUUCUGUCCUAAGGGAAGAAGAAUGACGGUACCUUAGGAGGAAGCCCC
This 445-nucleotide ribosomal RNA is filed under the name uncultured bacterium. Its description in RNAcentral is "bacterial SSU rRNA". It matches the Rfam family "Bacterial small subunit ribosomal RNA", at positions 28 to 494 of the family's 1533-position model. The record is from RNAcentral.